Molecule: long non-coding RNA, 1093 nt
Organism: Oreochromis aureus
Lineage: Eukaryota; Metazoa; Chordata; Actinopteri; Cichliformes; Cichlidae
Source: Ensembl
GUAUUAAUGCCACUUCAGUUUCUGUAUGCAAUUUAAAAUCUCAAAUUAUAGGGAUUUGACGACACUACCAUUACUACAAAGUUAUUCUGGCUAAUUAUAAUAAACUACAUACAAGAAAAAAUGGGUGGGAAAAUGUGUUUAUCUCAAAUAAAAGUGGAAACUUAACCCCCCGAAAAGAAUACAGAUAAUUGAAAUGAUUUAAUUUACUUAUAAAUCUACCUAAAUGAGAUAACAAAUGUAUAUUUGUGCUUCUGUUUAUUUAGACUGGGAUAUAGCUGACAAUAAAAAUAACUGAAAAUACUGAAAACUAACUGAAACUAAUUCCAAUUUAAAAGAAAAAAUAAAACACUAAAUUAAAACAAAAAAAAGAGGAUUAUAAAACUAUAAAUACAUCGUCUAAUAAUUUUGAGGCGAUUGAAAAGUCCUUUUGAGCUUUUAUUUUUUUACAGUUAACUGACUGACUUCCGGUUAUGGCUUUUCUAACUGAGUGCCUCUCCGCGCAGCCUGUACUCUUCAAGCCCCAUCAAACACGAGUCCGUCGGUCUGGCUGCGCAAGGCAACUGAACACUACGAGCAGCGAGUGGUUAUUCCAGCCCAAACCUCCAACUUAGCAAACAGUGUUAGCUCUAAAUAUCAUCCCUGUCCGUCGGUAAGCGCUGCACUUUGCUUUCCGCUUCCUUCUGAGGACUUCAACUCGCGCUGGUCAAAUUGUCGGCAGACCAAAUACGGAGAAAUAAAACGAAAUAACGGACACGUCUCGGCUGAAAUGCACGGCUGUUGUUACUGUCUUUUGAGGAGGAGGGUGUCCGACACAGAGCUGUAGUUUCUCUUCCAAGAAGGCGAGGAAUGCAAGCUGAGCAUCAAUGUUUCACUGGGGCAAGUGGAAGAAGAGGAUGGGAGCCAACAGUUCUUCAAAGAGACCCGUUUUCGACGAAAAGGAAGAUGGUGAUGCGCAGGCGAUGACAGUUGUAGCAGCCCUGGUGCCUGAGCCAAGGAGUCUUCAAAGAGAUGAGCUCAGCUUGAUGCUGAGGUGGCAACAGGGGGAAUAAAGGUCUCUCUUCCUUGUCGAGGUGUGUGUAUGUGUCUGUGCGGG